UGCCUUAGUAGCGGCGAGUGAGCGGCAUAGCUCAAUUUGAAUCUGGCACCUUCGGUGUCCGAGUUGUAAUUUGAAGAAGGUAUCUUUGGUUUUGGCUCUUGUCUAUGUUCCUUGGAACAGGACGUCACAGAGGGUGAGAAUCCCGUGCGAUGAGAUGCCCAAUUCCAUGUAAAGUUCCUUCGACGAGUCGAGUUGUUUGGGAAUGCAGCUCUAAGUGGGUGGUAAAUUCCAUCUAAAGCUAAAUAUUGGCGAGAGACCGAUAGCGAAAAAGUACUGUGAAGGAA
Molecule: ribosomal RNA, 284 nt
Filed under: Yamadazyma mexicana
Lineage: Eukaryota; Fungi; Ascomycota; Pichiomycetes; Serinales; Debaryomycetaceae
Description: partial 26S ribosomal RNA
Rfam family: Eukaryotic large subunit ribosomal RNA
Source: RNAcentral